AACAACAAAAACAAAAACAACAACAAAAGAGCAUUAGUAGCUUCAACAGAAAUAGCGUAAAUAAUUAUCUCAACAUAAGAACCAUAAAUAAAAUAGCAUUCAUAUCAUACAACAACAACAACUACCCAGUAUACUCCCACCAGGUGGGAGUAUAUCAUAGUUCUUUAUAAUUCGGAAAAGGGUCGUGAUUAUGUCAGUGGGAGAAUAGCCCAGGUCAUAUAGGGCCUUUAAACCAGCACAAGCAUCAUCAAACUUCCCUUCAAGGACAUUCUGCACCAUAUUCUUCACAUGCAAGGGAUGGGGCUGGUCACAUACCUUGAAGCUUGAAAACAUUCUCUUGAUAGCUAUUUCUGAAGACUAUUAGUAGGUAUCCCUCAUGCGAUUCUUCACAUUUAUAGAAUGCAACCAAUAGAGACAAACUAAAACAUCAGGUCAAUCUGUCAAACAUGAGUGAUGAAGAGAGUGAUAUGUGAGCCUAAAACCUUGAAAACAUUCUCUUGGUUAACAAAACCAAAUCCACU
RNAcentral lists this long non-coding RNA (521 nucleotides) under Nicotiana benthamiana. RNAcentral's name for it is "long non-coding RNA (NBEN_LNC022974)". The record is from RNAcentral. Lineage: Eukaryota; Viridiplantae; Streptophyta; Magnoliopsida; Solanales; Solanaceae.